Molecule: long non-coding RNA, 1443 nt
Organism: Capsicum annuum
Lineage: Eukaryota; Viridiplantae; Streptophyta; Magnoliopsida; Solanales; Solanaceae
Exons: 4
Source: RefSeq, a predicted model, not a curated record
ACUUAAGCAAUACAAGAUUAUUUGUGUUUGCUUAGGGAGAACUAAAAUUAAUAUGAUAAUAGAGGAAUUCUUUUAGUCUUGAGAUUCUUUUACUCCAUUUUGGUCAUUGAGGGGGUCCGGGGUAAGGGAAUCAGUAGUAUUCUACUGAAAAGGUACUAUACUACAAUGAAAGUUUUUUUCACGCCACACUUUUAUAAGGAGGAGAAAAGGAGAUCUAAAGCUGAAAGUGGUAGCAUUAAUAAAUUGAUUCGAACAUUAUAUUAUCUUCUUUUAUAGAUGAAUUAGUUGGUUGAGAUGUGUGCAAGCGUAUGUUUCUCCGGGGUUAAUAUAAUAUUUCCUGACUGAACCUUUUUCUCUAAAUUAAUAGGUUUACAACAACCUCUUCCCCAUCUCUCUAUCGUCCACAGAUCUUUUGGAUGUUCAUGUUAUGUUUUAUUGUUUUAUAUAAUGUGUAUGUUAUUGUUUGUGUAUUUGUAAGAUUUGAUUCUCCUUAUGAGUUAAUAGCUGAUGUAGAUCUUGCUACCAUUAAGGACCGUAUGGCUAUUAAAAAGGUUGUACAGUCUAGUAAUGUGGAGGAGGCAAUUAAGAAGGUUGAUUUGAAUCCCGAGUUAAAACCUAAAGAAUAUAAACAACACAGAGUGGACCACAUCUGAAGCAGAGUAAGCUGGUUGAUAGGGACCUCAAAUUCGAAUAGGAUACCGGGCUGAAAUAAUAUCUAAACAAGUGUAGUUACUGAGCCUUGCUUUCACUCAAUUGUAGCAUACCUCAUGCAUAAGUUGUUGGACUACAUAUAUCAUAUUAGAAGCUAAGAUGCUAGAGAACCAACAAGGAUGGAAGCAAAAGAGUUGAAAUCUGAAGCGAAAAGAAGAGAAGUGUGGCUGACGAUAUUCCUGAUAAGUCGUCAUCCCUGUGAUAUGUUAUCAGCUUCAUCUUCAGCCUUAGACAGAGAAUGGACCUGAGUUGAGAGUUGUGACGAUAUUUUGUGAUAAGCCGUCAAGGAGCUGAUAGGUCGUCAAAAUUGGUGUCAGCCUAAGGCAGAACAUGGGAGCUGAGGUAGAGACGUGACGACAUUCGUGAUAAGUCGUCAAGGAGAUGAUAGGUCGUCAAAACCAUGUCAUCCUAAGGCAGCGAAUACUAAAAGCAAAGAGGAGAUGAUGACAUUUGUAAUAAGUCAUCAGCCUCCUGAUAGGGUGUCACGGAUGGCAUCACCUAUUCGAGAAAUUUCUGAACGUUAUUAUUUUAUUUCCAUAAUUGAGGUGAACUAUUUAAAGCAUUGUUUAGGGUUUUCUUAAGGGUUCUGAACCUGAGUUUUGAGACACAUAUUUUUGUUAUUUUCUCUCUCUAGUUUCUUGGCUUGAAAAAGCAAUUACUUUGAAGAGAUUUUAAUCAUUACUUUGGGAUUCCUAUUGUGAUCUAAUAUGAGAAUCACUAGUUAUUAUUCAU